AAUUAGAAAGCGAAUAUUUGCACUUAGUUUCGACCUAACCCUUGGUAUAUACCUCUAAUUU
This 61-nucleotide transfer RNA is filed under the name Paranephrops planifrons. RNAcentral describes it as "tRNA-Arg". Lineage: Eukaryota; Metazoa; Arthropoda; Malacostraca; Decapoda; Parastacidae. The record is from RNAcentral.